RNAcentral lists this ribosomal RNA (449 nucleotides) under uncultured bacterium. Its description in RNAcentral is "bacterial SSU rRNA". It matches the Rfam family "Bacterial small subunit ribosomal RNA", at positions 29 to 524 of the family's 1533-position model. The record is from RNAcentral.
AACGAACGCUGGCGGCAGGCCUAACACAUGCAAGUCGAACGCCGUAGCAAUACGGAGUGGCAGACGGGUGAGUAACACGUGGGAACGUACCCUUCGGUUCGGGAUAACUCAGGGAAACUUGAGCUAAUACCGGAUACGUCCGAGAGGAGAAAGAUUUAUCGCCGAGGGAUCGGCCCGCGUCUGAUUAGCUUGUUGGUGAGGUAACGGCUCACCAAGGCGACGAUCAGUAGCUGGUCGAGAGGAUGAUCAGCCACAUUGGGACUGAGACACGGCCCAAACUCCUACGGGAGGCAGCAGUGGGGAAUAUUGGACAAUGGGCGCAAGCCUGAUCCAGCCAUGCCGCGUGAGUGAUGAAGGCCCUAGGGUUGUAAAGCUCUUUUACCCGGGAAGAUAAUGACUGUACCGGGAGAAUAAGCCCCGGCUAACUUCGUGCCAGCAGCCGCGGUAAC